GCUCAACAGUGCAGAUAUCAGGAUUAGCAGUCACUAUUUGUUUUUCAGCAGGCAAUGAUUUGUUCUGUUUCAGCUCCAUGUCUCCGAUUGCUCUUGACAUAUUUAGAGUCCCGUUGACCCGUCCACACCGAACAUAUCCACCGGCAUUUCUAAUCCUUUCCUUUUCAGCUUGAAGGUCAGGCUUAUGGUCACUAGACAUAUCAUAUGCCUGACCCUUCCGAGAUAACACACAGCGAGAAUCACCAGCGUUUGCUACAAGAAGUUGGACAUUCUGAAUGAUUGCUAUACAAGCUGUGCUUCCUGCAGAUGGCCCACGGUAAUCAGAGUUGGCCCCCUCCUCUGAAGACCCACCAUCUGUUUGCCCCUUGGAUUCACCAUAUUUGGGAGGAGAUAUCAAACCCUCUAUCAUGUUCUUAGCUUGGUCCUUUUCUGCCAUCAAAGAGGCUAAUUCUCUCUGACCUGUUUGGCCACACAUCAUCUCGUCCAUUCUGAGAAAAGCAUGCCGAGUAGAAGUGUCUAUAUCCCCAGCUGAGUAUGCUUCAUGAUUAAGAACCUCUUGAUGAAGAAACUUGGCACAAAAUUUAGAAACUUCAUCCCCUCCAUGUCCAUCAUAAACACCAAAGAAGGAAGUGGAAGAGUCCAAAUUUGGAUGAACUGCAUGAGCAUCUUCCAUGGUUG
This 678-nucleotide unclassified non-coding RNA is filed under the name Hevea brasiliensis (rubber tree). Lineage: Eukaryota; Viridiplantae; Streptophyta; Magnoliopsida; Malpighiales; Euphorbiaceae. The record is from RNAcentral.